RNAcentral lists this ribosomal RNA (225 nucleotides) under uncultured bacterium. RNAcentral describes it as "partial 16S ribosomal RNA". It matches the Rfam family "Bacterial small subunit ribosomal RNA", at positions 15 to 231 of the family's 1533-position model. The record is from RNAcentral.
GAGCAUGGCUCAGGAUGAACGCUAGCUACAGGCUUAACACAUGCAAGUCGAGGGGCAGCAUGGUCUUAGCUUGCUAAGGCCGAUGGCGACCGGCGCACGGGUGAGUAACACGUAUCCAACCUGCCGUCUACUCUUGGACAGCCUUCUGAAAGGAAGAUUAAUACAAGAUGGCAUCAUGAGUCCGCAUGUUCACAUGGUUAAAGGUAUUCCGGUAGACGAUGGGGA